Molecule: ribosomal RNA, 498 nt
Filed under: uncultured Glomus
Lineage: Eukaryota; Fungi; Glomeromycota; Glomeromycetes; Glomerales; Glomeraceae
Description: SSU rRNA
Rfam family: Eukaryotic small subunit ribosomal RNA
Source: RNAcentral
AGCAGCCGCGGUAAUUCCAGCUCCAAUAGCGUAUAUUAAAGUUGUUGCAGUUAAAAAGCUCGUAGUUGAAUUUCGGGAUCAAGGAAUCGGUCAUGCCUUGGUAUGUACUGGUUUUAUUGGUUCUCACCUUCUAAAGAACCAUGAUGUCAUUCAUUUGAUGUUAUGGGGAAUUAGGACUGUUACCUUGAAAAAAUUAGAGUGUUUAAAGCAAGCUUACGCUUGAAUACAUUAGCAUGGAAUAAUGAAAUAGGACAUCAGAUUCUAUUUUGUGGUUUCUAGGAUCGAUGUAAUGAUUAAUAGGGAUAGUUGGGGGCAUUAGUAUUCAAUUGUCAGAGGUGAAAUUCUUGGAUUUAUUGAAGACUAACUACUGCGAAAGUAUUUGCCAAGGAUGUUUUCAUUAAUCAAGAACGAAAGUUAGGGGAUCGAAGACGAUCAGAUACCGUCGUAGUCUUAACCAUAAACUAUGCCGACUAGGGAUCGGAUGAUGUUAAUUUUUAA